UGGAGAUGCUGGGGAUUGAACCUGGGGUCUUCUGCACAUAGAGCAGAUGCUCUGUCACUCUACUAGGGCCCUUCCCUAGUCUUCAUGCACUCCACGCUUGCUAUCUCCUGAUAGGUGGUCUCACUAGUUGGCUACAAAUCAUAUUAAGGCUGCAAUCCCCCACACAUGUACAUGGGAGCAAGUUCCAUCAAAUUCAACCAGACUUACUCCUAGGUAGAUAUGCACAGCUUUGCAUUAUACAAGCAUUUACCCCAGUGAGUCUGAUCCUCCGUAGCCUAUGGGUGUGCAAUGAUUAUUUAAAAGUGAAUAGUGUGCUAUCAACUCCCACUGUUCUUUAUGCACUGCUGGAAUUUAUGCUCUCUACAUGCUUUAUGAACACAAUGGGCUUUGCUGCUAGGAUAAUUUUAUACCUGCUAUCAGAUCACAGUUCAGCCAGCAACAGAGGGGAUGUAAACCAAUUCCACAAAAGUGCACGCAUUAGAAGACCACUAGAUGAGCUAUUUUAGACACAAGCUUUUAUGUUUCCCACAAACAUGGCAACCUGAUAAUGUUUUUGUGCAUAGUACUAAACCUGAAGGAUCUGGAAACUUAGAAGGGAAUAGAGCUAAUAUAAAUGAUCAAGUCAUGUAAGACAUUCACAUAUGCCACUAUUUUACACUGCUGUGGCUGUUUUUCGGCACAAAGGAGGAUGUAAAAUAAACUUCAUAGCACAGCCAAGGUGGUGCUCUCCAGAUGUUUGUAGAGUACAACUUUCAUCAACCCCAAUCGGUGUGGCCAAAUGGUCAGGGAAUAUGGCAGAUGUAGCCUAAUGUCAACUGAAGGGCGCUAAAUUAUCUUACCCCUGUUAUACAUUUAUUUCCAUUAUACAGUUAGAUCUUGAAGUGCAGUUUGGUCUUGUCUGUGAGCUGUAGGGGUGACCAACGUGGGACCCAUGAAGGCCUUCAGUGGCACCUCUGGGCAGAAGCCCCAGUUUCUAAGCUUUUGUUUAAAAAAGUACAUCUCUAGCCCUCCUAAGAAGUAAGUUAUGAAACUAAAUGUGCAGGUACCAUUAUAAGUGAUUUCUGUGAAAUGAGCCAGCUAGCUGCUUCCAUCUGUCUGUGAUUUUAACCAAUGAAUUUUAGACUGAUAGGUGAAUUGCUCAGACAUCAGGCAAGAGGAAUCCCUGGAGUCCUAAAGAGCUGCUGUUUUCCCCUUCCCCUCAGUGCACUUUUCCUGUUUCUGUCUUUUUUCCUAGUCCUUGGAAUCUCUAUAGUUUGUUCUUUUUCUCCUAACAACCAGGAUACAACUUUCCCAUGGUGAGUUCAUCUGAGAUCAGGCAGUCCCUGAAAAUUAUUUUCUGCAAAUACUACUACACAACAAGUGUGGAUGGAUUCAAAAGAAUCACCCCUUUCUUCAAAAGCUACUGCAUAAACUAACUAAAGACUAAUCGGAGACACCGGACUGCAUGAGUGUUACAGCUGCUUGAGCAGUCACCUUAUCUAUAUACCGAUAACACUCAGACUCUCACAGGCUGGAGUGGAAGAAGCGAUGAGCAAAAUCCGCCCCCUCCUUUCUGAAACAUUGUCAGCAGAUUCUUGCAAUGGGAGGGGUGAAACAUCCUCAUGCUCUGCAUAUGACUUAGCUGGAUAUCACGAAUAACUUUUACCACCAUGUUACUAAGCAAACAACAGAAUAUAUUGAACCUAGACCAGUAUAUUUAAUUUUAGAAAUACAUGUGACAAAAGUAAUUUGACCUUAAACAUAUCAGUGAUACCAGCUAAAUAAAAAUACUGCCAAUGGUUUAACUUGCAAUUUCUUAAGGUUGUGGACCUCUUUAAAACAAGCUCAAUGAUUAUUUUCUUUAAGUGUUUUAAAAUAAUGUGAUUUACUUACUGGAUUGAGAACAACAGUGAAAAACAGUUCCCCACCCUGUAUACUUUUGUUCAGUUCUUUAGGACCACCAGGAUACUCUUUGUAGAAAAUGGUGUGAGUAAAGAGACCACAAGUUUGUCGAGGAAGAACCUACAGAAAAACAGUGAGGGGAAGGGCAGAAUGAGGCAUGAUCUACCCAAAGCAGAGCACUUACUGAGUCCCAGAAAUUUUAAUGGAAGAGAUAUUAACAUGCACUUAAUUCUCCCACUGUAACCGGUACAACUUGAAUAUGCUUAACUUUGUUGGGUGAUUUUUUUAACCUUAAUUUUGAUGUACAGAAAAAUGCACAGAAUAAAGAGAAGCUACAAACUC
Non-coding RNA from Podarcis muralis (Common wall lizard), 2223 nucleotides. NCBI's taxonomy places the organism in Eukaryota, Metazoa, Chordata, Lepidosauria, Squamata, Lacertidae. The record is from RefSeq and is a predicted model, not a curated record.